RNAcentral lists this ribosomal RNA (468 nucleotides) under uncultured bacterium. RNAcentral describes it as "partial 16S ribosomal RNA". It matches the Rfam family "Bacterial small subunit ribosomal RNA", at positions 28 to 507 of the family's 1533-position model. The record is from RNAcentral.
GACGAACGCUGGCGGCGUGCUUAACACAUGCAAGUCGAACGGAAAGGCCCUGCUUUUGUGGGGUGCUCGAGUGGCGAACGGGUGAGUAACACGUGAGUAACCUGCCCUUGACUUUGGGAUAACUUCAGGAAACUGGGGCUAAUACCGGAUAGGAGCUCCUGCUGCAUGGGGGGGGUUGGAAAGUUUCGGCGGUUGGGGAUGGACUCGCGGCUUAUCAGCUUGUUGGUGGGGUAGUGGCUUACCAAGGCUUUGACGGGUAGCCGGCCUGAGAGGGUGACCGGCCACAAUGGGACUGAGAUACGGACCAGAAUCCUACGGGAGGCAGCAGUGGGGAAUAUUGCACAAUGGGCGGAAGCCUGAUGCAGCGACGCCGCGUGCGGGAUGACGGCCUUCGGGGUGUAAACCGAUUUCGCCUGUGACGAAGCGUGAGUGACGGUAAUGGGUAAAGAAGCACCGGCUAACUACGUG